UGAGCCUGUAGGUGUGCAUAGCGUGCUCGGGGAAGGCGCGGAGGCGAUGAAUUCCAGCAAUGGCGUUGGCGGUGCAGAGAAGGGGAACGACUCGAUCCGGUCGAAGCAGAGGCACUCGGCUCGUGUUCUUCAGCGUAGAGGAAGCAGCGGAGGCGGGAGGAGCUCCUGGCGCAAUCCUAGGUGAUGGGGAGGGCAGUGGCCACGGGAUCGACGAGGGCCAUGGCGACGACGGAGUUGGGCACAUCCAGAACGGGAAGAGGGAGUGAGAAGAGGGGCGAAUGGGGGCUAGGGUUUGCAGGGGGGUUCGAGAUGACCUUGUAGGACGCCGGUGCGUCACUCGAUGGCCGGCACGUGGCCAGUCCGGCCAUGGACGCCGUGGGCGCGUCCAGCGCGUCUCCUGUGAACAGGAGGUAGGAGGAAACCUCCUGGUGGGCUGGGCUACCUACUGGUCCUUUGGGCCUUAGGUGUACAGUAGCUAGGUUUCUCUCAUUUGUUUAAUUUUUCUGUUUCAGUUUAUUCUUUGUUUUCUUUUAUACACCACUGUUUUGCACUACUUUUAAAUACCAAUUGAAUUUUGUUCAUCAUGAAACUUGUCGCUUAAAUACUUCGCAAUAUUUUGGAAAGAAACAUAAAGUUUGAGGUCAAUUGGAAUUGUAUAAAUAUUUGCUUAUACUGUAAAGGCUAUUUUAUUUGUUGUUGGACCAUUUAUUAAUUUCCUAGGGAUUUAUCUGUGAGUCAAAUGAAGUUGGUUUCUACAUGAUAAUUAGCUAGUGAAUAUCUGCAACCCAACCAACAUUUUUGUUUUAUUUUUGAAGAAAACAAUUUGACAUGCAAAUUUGAAUAUGAAUAUGAAGUUGAUUUGGAACAAAGUGAUGAUUAGCAAAAAUAAUUGUGAUGACUUGGCAGUCAUUAGCAGGAGUUUACUGUAGCAUGAUUAUCGGGGUGUUACAAAUCUCCUCCACUACAAGAAAUCUCGUCCCGAGAUUUAAGGGGUGGAGUAAGGGGGAAAGGCUUGGGAAGGACAGAGCUGAACAUAAGAUAGUUACGUGGGGGCUAUCUCAAUGAACGUGGCAUAGAGUCACCUCUCGAGUCGAAAUUCAAGAAAGACGUUGAGAGCAAGGUAAGGAGGUGCAAUAAGAAGCUUCAACCGGGUAGGCAAUCGUUUGUUGCCUAAAACAUAGGGUGAAAGGGGUUCAGAGCAAUGGGAAUAGGUAUUGCGUCUGAUACCAGAAUAGAUUGCUAGGAAUGUGGCUCGUGAUUUACAUACGAAGCCAAGUGCGAGGAACAAUUUUGUAAAACAGGGAUUUACAGGAGAGUCAGGUUUCAAUCCUGUGGAGCGGUGGGUUAUGGGCCCACCACGUGGUUUAAAAAGUAGGAAAGGUGCUGACAUCUUGCACGGUCAUGAUAGCAAGGCAUGUCAGAGGAUACCUGUCAGUUAUGUUGGCAACAACAUUGGUACCAAGGGCGAGGGACGAAGAGAACCAUUCUCCUGCUCGUUGGACGAGGCGGACCAAUAGGCAAGGUUCUCGUCCAUCGGUGGUACCGUAAUGUUAUCAACAAUAGUAACAGGGUCUUACUGUCAGAGUUGUUCAACCAAGGUGUUUACCUAAGCAGGGAAAUAUUACUGCUUAUAUCAUAUAGAUCACAAGAAAGGUUAAACAAGCAACGGAAAGGAAAAAUGUGAUUAGUAUAUUAAUCAGACCAAUGGAAAGGAAACAUGUUUAUACUCAAGUAUCAAGAGUAUAUCUUUCCCAAGAACAAGGAGAGGAUGAUAUCCAUGAGAGGAUAGUAAGUAGAUUACCAUUUAGGUAAACGGGGGAGGAAAAAUCAUGACGUUACCCCUACAAUAGUGUUUGGAUAAGUGAUCAUGAAACAUUUAGUAUUGCGCCUCCAAUGUCCUUAAGAUGUUCGGAGUACCGCAGCCAUGCUUCGGGAUAGCCUUGACAUGGUCACCAAGUAAAGUUCAGACUUUGGAUACACAAAGGAUCCACCAGAAACAACUUAUAAAAUAAGUCAUACCAAUUCAGCAAGGAAAAAAUGAGGAUGUGGCCGAUGGUUUCAACAGAAAUCCACCGACAUGUCAAAAUGAUGUAUUUCCAAAAUUUAUAUGAACAAGUUUGUGUUGGGGCGGUAGGCAAGAAUGUUGUCGAUGAUAACACAAAUCGAGGGGUAAGGAUGGUAUUUUUCAUCGCGAAUUUGAUUGAUAUGCUGGAAGAGCUCAGAAUGUUGACGAUGAUCAUGACAUUUGUCGAGAGAUUUCAUGAAGAUGUAAUCAAUCGGCGACGACAUCAAGUCAAAGGAAUGAUAAAGCAAAAUGUUAUUGGAACCACAGGUAUGACACAAACUCGAAAUCAAGCUUGUUGUUCAAGGUGAAAUGACAUGGCAAGGAAGAUAGACAUAAGUUUAUCUCGUCGUCGAAAGUUGUGCUCUGGGAAGAAGGACCAUGUACCACAAUUAAAAUUUAUCACGAUAAUGAUAUAGCCGAUCAGGCUAGGAAUGACUUGAAGGAUUAUUGAACUUGUAAGCAACGAAAAAUUACUUAGAGAUGUUGAAUCGGAGUGCGGGAUCGAUUCUCUUAUCGGUGUUCUCAAGUAACUGAUAACCCAGAACCCGGGGGAAAAUCUGAAAUCGGUGAGAAGUAAUACUAGAUGAAUAUUCAUGGGAAGCAACUCAGUUAUUUGAUAUACUCGAGAUAUCGUAGGAUAAUACUUGAAUGAAGAUCAAAAUAGAGGUUGCGAAGAUGCAUUUAUCUACAGAAGACAAGUGCUUUAACUUGUCCGAGAAAUGGAAUCAAAGGGGAACAAUUAUGGUCAGAACCACGGUUGCAAAGGAUCAAAUCCUAGAUAUAAGAUGAUCUUAUACCAAGAGGAUAAUUAAUUUUAAGAGAAGCAUCCAUGAUAAGAUCUACAUCAUGUCCAUGGGCAUGAACAUAAAGUUCAAGGUCGACUCCCACUUCUUCAAUGCAUAUCAUUUCAUUUACUUCUCACUAUCGAUGAAGUUGUAGUGUUGAAAAGUUAUCUGGCAAAACACCAGAAGAGUAAGACUCGCUAAAACUCUCAGGUUCAAACGGAUUAGGGGAGGCAUAGGUUCGACCCAUAGGGGCAUCUUAGGAGCAUAUACCACAAACUUCAGAAGUAAACAACACAAGCUCGAAAGCAGAGCAUGGUUGACAAAAGGAGAGGAUACAAUUACCAAAGGCAUUAUGUAUCUGGGAAAGAACUUCAUGAGAUUCUUUGAAUAUGAAGGACACUGUCGGAUGAUAAUCCAAUAAUGGACCCGGCGAUCCACAACGGAGCUGAUGUGAGUAUCGAUAUUCAAUUAGAAGAAGAAAUAAUGCAGAGGCAUCAGAUUUUGGAAAUAUUUGAUAAUUCCAAAGCUUAAAUGCAAAGGAAUUAUGAUUUCCAAUUCGGGGAAUCAGAAUUAGAUGCUCUAAUCAAAAGAUAAGCAAGUUGAAAAUACAUAGACCGACAAUCAUUCAAGGUUUGAUUUGUCGAGAACCAGCUCAUGCCCGGAGUGGAGUCUGAGCCAAAAGGAUAAAUAAUUACCAUGGAAUAAGUAAUGAAUGUGUGCAUUCAUGCACAUGUCGAAUCAAUAAGAUAAGAAUGACAAUCUCAAAGGAGUUUAAUGAAUAUUGUUAGACAUAUGGAAUUAACCAUAAUGCAAGACGAUAAGGAAAAACAUGAGCAAUAGGCUACUGAGGAUUAUCGGAAGAUCGAAUAGUAUUCCGAAGAAUUUUGUGAGACAUAUGAACAACUGGGGAUGCCGAAUCCCCGAUAAGUGUGACGAAUUAUUCGUAGGGUUAUUCAGGCGGAAAAGAGCUGUAAGGCAGUCAGGAAAAAGAUUCUCAAAAGUCGGAGAAUACUUUUGGGUAUCUGGUAAUAACAAGAACAACUAGGGGUGGAAGUAUGAACGGCGAGGUACGCAGUUAUCCAUAAGGAUUCAACGGUGUUAAGGGAUUGCAAUGGAAAUUGACACAAGUUCUCGAGAGUAGAUCGGAGAGUAUCUUCGAUGUCUUCUCGUGUAGCAGGCAACCAUCCGGAAUGAAGGGGCUCUCCGAGGAAAGUCGUCACGAGAACCUAAUGUAGUUAGUAAAUUCAUUUAAUCCGAAUAGAAGAGAGAACAGAGUCACAGAGUAUAGACGAGGAGUAAAAGAUCCUAAUACCACCCAAUGGCGACAUGGGCACGUAAAACACAUAGCCAAUGUUAGUAAAAGUGUUUUCAGUGACUAGACUCAACUUCGGCCAAGGAGUUGGAAAGGGGGCUACCUACAGGCAGUUGGCUCUGAUACCAACUUGUGAGGACUCACGGGAAGAUAUCACAACACAACUCUAGACACAAAUUAAAAUAAUACCAGCUUUAUAUUACAAGCCAGGGGCCUCGAGGGCUCGAAUACAUAAGCUCGAAAACACAAGAGUCAGCGGAAGCAACAAUAUCUGAGUACAGACAUAAGUUAGACAAGUUUGCCUUAAGAAGGCUAGCACAAAAGCAUCUACGAUCGAAAAGGCAAGGCCUCCUGCCUGGGAGCCUCCUAACUACUCCUGGUCGUCGGCGUCCGUCACGUGGUAGUAGGCACCCUCGGGGUAGUAGCAAUCUUUAAAGGUGUCAUCUGGCUCCUGGACUCCGUCAUAUGGUUGCAUCAACCGGAAAGAAAAGAAAGGGGGAAAAGGGGGAGCAAAGCAACCGUGAGUACUCAUACAAAGUACUCGCAAGCAAGGAUCUACACUACAUAUGCAACAUUAUCAAAGGAAGGCUGUAUGUGUGGACUGGGCUGCAGAAAUGCCAGAAUAGAGAGAAGGCCUAGUCCUAUCGAAGACUAGCAUCUUCUGGAAACCACCAUCUUGCAGCAAACAGGAGGGAGUAGAGUAGCAUAAAGUAAGUAGUAGUAGUGUUAUCAACCUCGGCCAGAGAUCCUUUCUCGACUCCCUACGAGAAAGCAAUCCCAGAGCCAUACUAUCCAAUUGUCAUCACAAUCCAAUUCUCAUCACCAUCCAAUUCUCAUCACAAGUAUCCAGUUCUAGUUGUAUCGAUCGGGAUACAACUCCGAGUGUCCGUUACCGUAGGACAGGCUAUCGAUAUAUGUUUUCUUCCAUGCAGGGGUGCACCAACUUACCCACCACGCUCGAUUAACUCCGGCCGGACACACUUUCCUGGGUCAUGCCCGGCCUCGGCCAAACAAUACGCCGCAACCCGACCUAGGCUUAAUAGAGAGGUCAACACGCCGGACUAAACCUAUGCCCCCAGGGGUCAUGGGCCAUCUCCCCAGUAACUCCUGCACGUUGCGUACGCGGCCUGUGAGCAGACCUAGCCUCCCUUAUACAAGUGAAGGCGUAACCAGACCAACCCGGCGCGCGCCGCUCAGUCGCUGACGUCUAUUAAGCUUCGGCUGAUGCAUACGACGCAGAACGCCCAUACUAUGCCCACGUGAUGGUUAGUGCUAUCAGGCCAGAGGCCCCUCGGAUCAAAUAUCCAAAUCGUAGUGGAUUAGGAACGCGCGGUAACAAGCAUAGACUCGCGAAAGAUGUGACCCCGUCGCCCCAUCUCGAGGACUUGCGGCAAGGGCUAAGAAUGUCCGGCCACACCUCGUAUUCAACUCUUGGGUACCCUCCAGGUCAACCCGUCUCCACAUCACUCGCAAUUAUGCUCGCGCGGGUACCCCUUAGGGUCCACCCGUCUUUAGUAACAUGGUUCAUUGUAAAGUCAUAGUAACCAUAGUAACUGUGUGUCUAAACUUCAAGGGGAAAACCCGAGGAAUCACCCCCGGUGAAUUCCACUCGAUGUAAUCAUCAAGGUGAACGUAAGAGGGACCACCCUCGAGGUCCACACUUGAGGGGUUGCACGACAAAGUCGUAUCGGAAGUGGUUAAAGAGGAAAUCACCCUCGAUGACCACGACCGAAUUGCUACUCUAUAGGGUUAACAUCAGAAGUGCUGUAGAGGCCUCACCCUCGGCACUCGAUAGUAACCCAGUAGUGUCGAGCAACUAAGGGGAAAGUGAUGUGCGGUGUCGGGGCCUGGUCUUCGAUCCCGUUGAUCGGGUCUUCAAUGAUGAAGUAGGGGCAACAAGGACAAGGUGGGGGUCACUGAUGGAUCACUAACCAACCUAUACUAAGCAGUUUAGGAAAGCAGGUAGGGUAACAAUAAGCAGGCUAUGCAUCAGAAUAGGAGCAAACAAUAACAAUAGUAAAAUCUAAUGCAAGCAUGAUAGAAUAGAAUGGGCGAUAUCGGGAUGAUCAAAGGGGGGGCUUGCCUGGUUGCUCUGGCAAGGAGGGGUCAUCGAUGACGUAGACGAUCACAGGGGCAGCAUCGGUCUCGGGGUCUACCGGAGAGAAGAGGGGGAAGAAACAGUAAAUAUAAAGCAAACAUAACUUAACAGGACAACAUGCAGAGCUAGACGUGUUCUAACGCGGUGCUACACGAUACCGGCGAGGGGGGAAGUCAACCGGGAUUGUUUUCCCGGUUCCGGACCUGUGUCAGACAUAUGAUCAGAGGGGGAAAGUUCCAUGUUCAGCAUGCUAGGGGCAUGUGACAGAUGAACGGACCGCGUAUUCGGAUUCGUCACGUUUUUCUGAGCAACUUUCAUGUAGAAAACAUUUUCAUCCGAGUUACAGAUUAUUUUAUAUGAAUUUUCUAAGUUUUAAACAUAUCCUGAAAUUAUUACAAAUUCGAAUUUAAAAGUGUAUUACUUUUUAUACACACACACAACUAGCCUAUUAGAAUGACAGGUGGGGUCCAGUGGCAGACUCAGCAUACACAGUUAGCGCAAGUCCACAGUCAAUGUUUGACCUGGUCAAAGUGUGAAUAGUGGCCGUGGGGCCUACUUGUCAUUGACUACAAUUUUAACUAAAAGGGGAAUUAGUGUGAGGGACCACCUGUCACAAACACAUUAGGCUAUUUAACAUAAGAAGUAGCAUCCCUAAAUCUAAUUAGUACUAACUAAUCUGGAUAGGGCCGGCCUCUUGGACAGAGUCUGUAGCAGCAACGACGCAUCAGGCAAAGCAAGCAAUAACGACUUCAGGUAGAGCAAGCAGCAACAAAGUAACGCAGCAACAAGCAGCCGCAUGGAGCAGGAGCAGCGGCAAGAGGAGCCGAGGGCAGCUCGGCAGCCGGCAGCAGGCACAGGGGCGCGACCACGAGCGGCUGGGCACGGGCACGGCGGCCGGGCACGCACAGGGACAGCAGGCAACAGCAGUUCCAGAGCAGCGGCAGCGCGUGUGGGGCAGCAAACAGUAGCAACAGAAGGGCAGCAGCGGCAGAAGACCUGGCGCUCGGCAAAGCAGGAUGCAGCCGGGCGCGGGCGAGCGCGCGUAGGGCGGCCAAGGUUGCGGCCGGACGCGACCAGAGGCGAGGGAGCGCGGGGCUGAGCGGUGGCGCCGGCCCGGACUUGACGGGGUCGAAGCCACGGGCGCGCACACGACGAGCAUGAGGCUAGAGGAGCACCUACGCGAUGUAGCGAAGAUGAUGGGCACACGCGUGUGACCAAUAGGCCACCGGAGUGACGCCGGCGACCAGCCGUGCGGCAUCAAGCUUCGGCCAUGACGGUCCUACGGCCUAGAGGACGAGCUCGUUCAAGAGAGUUGAGGGGGGAGGAAGAGGAGCUCACGGUGAGCCUGUAGGUGUGCAUAGCAUGCUCGGGGAAGGCGCGGAGGCGAUGAAUUCCAGCAAUGGCGUUGGCGGUGCAGAGAAGGGGAACGACUCGAUCCGGUCGAAGCAGAGGCACUCGGCUCGUGUUCUUCAGCGUAGAGGAAGCAGCGGAGGCGGGAGGAGCUCCUGGCGCAAUCCUAGGUGGUGGGGAGGGCAGUGGCCACGGGAUCGACGAGGGCCAUGGCGACGACGGAGUUGGGCACAUCCAGAACGGGAAGAGGGAGUGAGAAGAGGGGCGAAUGGGGGCUAGGGUUUGCAGGGGGGUUCGAGAUGACCUUGUAGGACGCCGGUGCGUCGCUCGAUGGCCGG
Molecule: long non-coding RNA, 7948 nt
Filed under: Triticum aestivum (bread wheat)
Lineage: Eukaryota; Viridiplantae; Streptophyta; Magnoliopsida; Poales; Poaceae
Description: long non-coding RNA (TAES_LNC003332)
Source: RNAcentral